UUGUUGAUGUUUUUCACGAAAUCAAUUAACAGUUGAUUUUUCAGAAGGAAGAAGCUCGAGAGAUGGAGGAUGCCGUUCUAUUGAAGCCGACGCAUAGGCUCAAGUAUCAUUUUCUCCUCAGCUUCUGCCAUGUCCGGAGAAGAAGAAGAGAACGCCGUCGAACUCAAGAUUGGAGAUGGUAACCUCUCUGUUAUUCCCGUCUUUGUAUCCCCAGCUACUGUAUUGCAAAAUUAAGAGUUUUUGAAGGCAAAGUGCUUAAUGAACUGUGAAGUGUCUUUGAUAUUUGAGCACAAGUAUGAACAUCUUCAGCAAGUCUCCGAGGAUCCUAUGAAUCAAGUUUCUCAAGUGUUUGAAAAGUCCUUGCAAUAUGUGAAGCGAUUUAGUCGGUACAAGAAUCCAGAUGUUGUUCAACAAGUUCGAGAGUAUCCUCUUUCUGUAUGAUUAGUUUAUUCAGUAGACCUAGUAUUACAAGAAUGCAUUGAUUAUGCUUUUAUUAGCACUUAACCCAUGAAUGAGAGAGUUUAAUGUCAUUGGUUCAGUUCUUUAGUUUUGUGAGAGUAUAUAUGCCGUAUGAUUUUGACAGAAUCUUGAGCAGGCAUCAGCUCACUGAGUUUGAGCUCUGUGUUCUUUGCAAUCUCUGUCCUAAAACUGCUGAAGAAGCAGUGGCAAUGGUUCCUUCUCUCAAGACAAAAGGAAGAGCUCAUAGUGAUGAAGUGAUCGAGAAGAUGCUUAAUGAUCUCUCCCUUGUCAAGAGAUUCGAGUAGUUGCGGAAAGUUCUCAAGAUAUAAGAUUAUAAACAUAUUUCAGGGGACUACAUUUUCCUUAUAGCUGUUGAUGUCUGAGAGUUAGUUUUUCAUGUCUAAAAUUAUAAAACUUUCAUGCUCAGAAUCUCUGUAAUGACAUCUUUUUAAUAUGUUUUAUGUCAUAUUUAUUUAAAUU
This is an RNA transcript of Brassica napus (rape), 939 nucleotides long. It is a transcript of the gene named DNA-directed RNA polymerase II subunit 4-like, with no coding region annotated. The transcript is spliced from 5 exons. NCBI's taxonomy places the organism in Eukaryota, Viridiplantae, Streptophyta, Magnoliopsida, Brassicales, Brassicaceae. The record is from RefSeq and is a predicted model, not a curated record.